This 131-nucleotide small RNA is filed under the name Citrobacter freundii. RNAcentral describes it as "RtT sRNA". It matches the Rfam family "RtT RNA". From Rfam's summary of the family: This family represents a bacterial cis-regulatory element known as RtT RNA. The exact function of RtT is unknown although it is thought that it may be involved in changing the cellular response in relation to amino acid starvation. Lineage: Bacteria; Pseudomonadati; Pseudomonadota; Gammaproteobacteria; Enterobacterales; Enterobacteriaceae. RNAcentral also lists the same sequence under 6 other names. The record is from RNAcentral.
UAUUCUGCCCAUGCGGGAAGGAUGAGAAGCUUCGACUAAGGUUCGAUUCGAGCGUAGCGAGAAAGCGUUGCCGCAGGCAACGACCCGAAGGGCGAAGCGCGUAACGCUGAGUAAUCCUUCCCCCACCACCA